CACACUAUAAGAUUACCUCAAUGACUCGUUCUUUUCUUCCUUGUAUAUUUUCUUGCCAUUUUUAGAGGUGUUAAAUCUUUGACUCUACAAGAUAAGUAUGAAUACAUUAGGUAUUAGUUUGUUUGCUAAGCAUGCGUGAAUAUGAUACAUUCAUAAAUUGGUAUGAAUGCAACAGAACUGCUGUUAGAAUAUGAACCAGAUCUGCUGAAACAUUGAGAAGAAGAGACGUCACAAAUGUUCAAGCUAUUAAAGUUUUGGUAAUAGCCAAAAUGAAAACGUAUUGGUUGAAACUUAAACCUUGCUCUGACCAAAUAUGUCGUAUCUUCGACAAAAAAACAAAACAAAUUAUAUAUAUUAAAUAAAAGCAAAGUAGUUUCAUAACGAAUAUGUAAAACGUGCUUUUAUAUUCCUUGUAACCAAAAAUUUGUCGUUCUUCAGUUCUAUCUAAUUUUCAUUUUCCGAGCAUAAUUAAAAAUCUAUUAAGUGUGUGGAACUCGUUGAACCACAUACUGUAUGGACCUGGCACACCGACAAGUCUGUACGUGCACGGGCCACUGCGAGCGUUAGGAAAGCUAUUUUUUUUUUGUCGACGCGUUAGGAAAGCUAUUUUCCCAUAUUAUUCGUAUUGAUUAAAUCGAAUAAACGUAAAAAUGACGAACUUUAACACUAUUUCAAAGUUCAAAGUUAUAUGAUUUUGUCAGUGUAGUCGUGUAUUGUUUGUCUGUUCUUGUGGUCUAUACAUCGUACUUGCUUUGCUCCCAAAUAGUGUCGUCUACACAACAUACUCAUAACUAAACGCGUUUACACUGUUAAAAUACAUGCACCUGGAUAUUAGACCAAACGAAUAGUUUGAAUUUAGUCCCGAAAUCAUACCUUAUGAAACGUGUUUAUACUAUCAAGAGACAAGAGCAAGUCUUCUAUCAAGAGACUAUGCAUAAAAAUCUUGGUACUUUAUAAUCAAUCAUAUGUUAUUAUUGGUCGGAUUGCUCAGACAACACAGCUUCUAUCAUUUACACCCAGCAUAUUUCAACCUUAAGAACCUAUACAAGACCAAUUAAUAUGAACUGAAAAACAAACAUUCACUUAUACAUGUAAUAUUUUUAUAUUCCAAUAUUUUUGAGAUUUUACAGUAUCACCAGCAAAACCUACGAUUAGAAUUAAACUUCCCAAGAUCUUAUUAAUAUAACAAACAUUACAUUCAAGUUGAUUCAAUUUAUAGGGCACAAUAUUAGUGCUACAGACAAACAACACGUAACUUAU
Long non-coding RNA from Brassica rapa (field mustard), 1260 nucleotides. RefSeq lists it as uncharacterized. The record is from RefSeq and is a predicted model, not a curated record. Lineage: Eukaryota; Viridiplantae; Streptophyta; Magnoliopsida; Brassicales; Brassicaceae.